GAUGAACGCUGGCGGCGUGCCUAAUACAUGCAGGUCGAGCGAACGGACGAGAAGCUUGCUUCUCUGAUGUUAGCGGCGGACGGGUGAGUAACACGUGGAUAACCUACCUAUAAGACUGGGAUAACUUCGGGAAACCGGAACUAAUACCGGAUGAUAUUUUGAACCGCAUGGUUCAAAAGUGAAAGACGGUCUUGCUGUCACUUAUAGAUGGAUCCGCGCUGCAUUAGCUAGUUGGUAAGGUAACGGCUUACCAAGGCAACGAUGCAUAGCCGACCUGAGAGGGUGAUCGGCCACACUGGAACUGAGACACGGUCCAGACUCCUACGGGAGGCAGCAGUAGGGAAUCUUCCGCAAUGGGCGAAAGCCUGACGGAGCAACGCCGCGUGAGUGAUGAAGGUCUUCGGAUCGUAAAACUCUGUUAUUAGGGAAGAACAUAUGUGUAAGUAACUGUGCACAUCUUGACGGUACCUAAUCAGAAAGCCACGGCUAACUACGUG
RNAcentral lists this ribosomal RNA (497 nucleotides) under uncultured bacterium. Its description in RNAcentral is "partial 16S ribosomal RNA". It matches the Rfam family "Bacterial small subunit ribosomal RNA", at positions 28 to 507 of the family's 1533-position model. The record is from RNAcentral.